AAUAGAUGACGCCGUUGACUUUUUCUCACAUGUUUGACCAUUCGUCUUAUUCAAAAAAUUUACGUAAUUGUAAUUUAUUUUGUUAUGAGUUGUUUUAUUACUCAUAAUACUUUAAGUGUGAUUUAUAUUUUAUAUAUUUACAUAAAAUUUUUUGAAUAAGACGAAUAGUCAAAUAUGGAAGAAAAAGUCAACGGCGUCGUCUGUU
Molecule: non-coding RNA, 205 nt
Organism: Oryza nivara
Lineage: Eukaryota; Viridiplantae; Streptophyta; Magnoliopsida; Poales; Poaceae
Source: Rfam